Molecule: transfer RNA, 90 nt
Filed under: Hyphobacterium sp.
Lineage: Bacteria; Pseudomonadati; Pseudomonadota; Alphaproteobacteria; Maricaulales; Maricaulaceae
Description: tRNA-Ile
Source: RNAcentral
GCGAGCUGUGCGGUAUGAUGGCAAUCCGUGCAGCGCUUGAUGCGCGCGGAGAAACCGGCCGCCGCCGCGUUCUGGUUCCGGAAUCCGCGC